AGUGAACGCUGGCGGUAGGCCUAACACAUGCAAGUCGAACGGCAACACAGAGGAGCUUGCUCCUUGGGUGGCGAGUGGCGGACGGGUGAGGAAUACAUCGGAAUCUACUCUGUCGUGGGGGAUAACGUAGGGAAACUUACGCUAAUACCGCAUACGACCUACGGGUGAAAGCAGGGGAUCUUCGGACCUUGCGCGAUUGAAUGAGCCGAUGUCGGAUUAGCUAGUUGGCGGGGUAAAGGCCCACCAAGGCGACGAUCCGUAGCUGGUCUGAGAGGAUGAUCAGCCACGCUGGAAGUGAGACACGGUCCAGACUCCGACGGGAGGCAGCAGUGGGGAAUAUUGGACAAGGGGCGCAAGCCUGAUCCAGCCAUACCGCGUGGGUGAAGAAGGCCUUCGGGUUGUAAAGCCCUUUUGUUGGGAAAGAAAUCCAGCUGGCUAAUACCCGGUUGGGAUGACGGUACCCAAAGAAUAAGCACCGGCUAACUUCGUGCCAGCCGCCGCCGUAA
This 506-nucleotide ribosomal RNA is filed under the name uncultured bacterium. Its description in RNAcentral is "partial 16S ribosomal RNA". It matches the Rfam family "Bacterial small subunit ribosomal RNA", at positions 29 to 523 of the family's 1533-position model. The record is from RNAcentral.